UACGAAGGGGGCUAGCGUUGUUCGGAUUUACUGGGCGUAAAGAGCACGUAGGCGGAUCGUUAAGUGAGGGGUGAAAUCCCAGGGCUCAACCCUGGAACUGCCUUUCAUACUGGCGAUCUUGAGUCCGGAAGAGGUGAGUGGAACUCCGAGUGUAGAGGUGAAAUUCGUAGAUAUUCGGAAGAACACCAGUGGCGAAGGCGGCUCACUGGUCCGGUACUGACGCUGAUGUGCGAAAGCGUGGGGAGCAAACAGG
This 253-nucleotide ribosomal RNA is filed under the name uncultured bacterium. RNAcentral describes it as "partial 16S ribosomal RNA". It matches the Rfam family "Bacterial small subunit ribosomal RNA", at positions 524 to 776 of the family's 1533-position model. The record is from RNAcentral.